ACGAGUGCGUGUUCAGCCGCCGCGGUAAUACGUAGGGUGCAAGCGUUAAUCGGAAUUACUGGGCGUAAAGCGUGCGCAGGCGGUUAUGUAAGACAGUUGUGAAAUCCCCGGGCUCAACCUGGGAACUGCAUCUGUGACUGCAUAGCUAGAGUACGGUAGAGGGGGAUGGAAUUCCGCGUGUAGCAGUGAAAUGCGUAGAUAUGCGGAGGAACACCGAUGGCGAAGGCAAUCCCCUGGACCUGUACUGACGCUCAUGCACGAAAGCGUGGGGAGCAAACAGGAUUAGAUACCCUGGUAGUCCACGCCCUAAACGAUGUCAACUGGUUGUUGGGUCUUCACUGACUCAGUAACGAAGCUAACGCGUGAAGUUGACCGCCUGGGGAGUACGGCCGCAAGAAUGAAACUCAAAUGAAUUGACGGG
This 421-nucleotide ribosomal RNA is filed under the name uncultured bacterium. RNAcentral describes it as "bacterial SSU rRNA". It matches the Rfam family "Bacterial small subunit ribosomal RNA", at positions 497 to 917 of the family's 1533-position model. The record is from RNAcentral.